UACGGGGGGGGCAAGCGUUGUUCGGAAUUACUGGGCGUAAAGGGCUCGUAGGCGGCCAACUAAGUCAGACGUGAAAUCCCUCGGCUUAACCGGGGAACUGCAUCUGAUACUGGAUGGCUUGAGUUCGGGAGAGGGAUGCGGAAUUCCAGGUGUAGCGGUGAAAUGCGUAGAUAUCUGGAGGAAUACCGGUGGCGAAGGCGGCAUCCUGGACCAUUACUGACGCUGAGGCGCGAAAGCUAGGGGAGCAAACGGG
RNAcentral lists this ribosomal RNA (253 nucleotides) under uncultured bacterium. Its description in RNAcentral is "partial 16S ribosomal RNA". It matches the Rfam family "Bacterial small subunit ribosomal RNA", at positions 524 to 776 of the family's 1533-position model. The record is from RNAcentral.